UAGGGAAUCUUCCGCAAUGGACGCAAGUCUGACGGAGCAACGCCGCGUGAGUGAAGAAGGUUUUCGGAUCGUAAAACUCUGUUGUUAGAGAAGAACAAGUGCUAGAGUAACUGUUAGCGCCUUGACGGUAUCUAACCAGAAAGCCACGGCUAACUACGUGCCAGCAGCCGCGGUAAUACGUAGGUGGCAAGCGUUGUCCGGAUUUAUUGGGCGUAAAGCGAGCGCAGGCGGUUCCUUAAGUCUGAUGUGAAAGCCCCCGGCUCAACCGGGGAGGGUCAUUGGAAACUGGGGAACUUGAGUGCAGAAGAGGAGAGUGGAAUUCCAUGUGUAGCGGUGAAAUGCGUAGAUAUAUGGAGGAACACCAGUGGCGAAGGCGACUCUCUGGUCUGUAACUAACGCUGAGGCUCGAAAGCGUGGGUAGCAAACAGGAUUAGAUACCCUGGUAGUCCACGCCGUAAACGAUGAGUGCUAAGUGUUGGAGGGUUUCCGCCCUUCAGUGCUGCAGUUAACGCAUUAAGCACUCCGCCUGGGGAGUACGACCGCAAGGUUG
This 550-nucleotide ribosomal RNA is filed under the name uncultured bacterium. Its description in RNAcentral is "bacterial SSU rRNA". It matches the Rfam family "Bacterial small subunit ribosomal RNA", at positions 355 to 896 of the family's 1533-position model. The record is from RNAcentral.